Molecule: ribosomal RNA, 439 nt
Filed under: uncultured bacterium
Lineage: Bacteria
Description: bacterial SSU rRNA
Rfam family: Bacterial small subunit ribosomal RNA
Source: RNAcentral
AACGCGAAGAACCUUACCUGGGCUUGAACCGCACAGGACCAGCUUCAGAAAUGAGGCCUUCCCGCAAGGGACCUGUGUAGAGGUGCUGCAUGGCUGUCGUCAGCUCGUGCCGUGAGGUGUUGGGUUAAGUCCCGCAACGAGCGCAACCCUUACUCAUAGUUGCUACCCGCAAGGGAGAACUCUAUGAGGACUGCUCCGGAUAACGGAGAGGAAGGUGGGGAUGAGGUCAAGUCAGCAUGGCCUUUAUGUCCAGGGCUACACACGUGUUACAAUGCUCAGUACAGAACGAACCGAAAUCGCGAGGUGGAGGAAAUCACAAAAACUGAGCCCAGUUCGGAUUGUAGGCUGCAACUCGCCUACAUGAAGCCGGAAUCGCUAGUAAUGGCGUAUCAGCUACGACGCCGUGAAUACGUUCCGGGCCUUGUACACACCGACGCAC